Molecule: long non-coding RNA, 468 nt
Organism: Rhineura floridana
Lineage: Eukaryota; Metazoa; Chordata; Lepidosauria; Squamata; Rhineuridae
Exons: 3
Source: RefSeq, a predicted model, not a curated record
CAAUCCCCCCAACACCUCUGCCUGCCGUCCGGCUGGACCAGCCCCGAAAGCCAGAGAACUCUCCCAGCAUGGGUAAAACCCCACGACACGGAGAGGUGUACAUCUGGAUCUACAGCAUUUGCACAUCGUCAGAAGGAUCAGUGACAUCACCCUCCCCGGACGGGGAAUGUGGCAUUAGGAAAUGAGGUACACAGAUCAUUUCCAUCACAGAUGGAGUUCCUUUCUUCCACUGGCUGAUACUACACUCUCCUCCAAGAAAGAUCUACUGAUCUCAAAUUCCUAUAAAUAUGUGAAUCAUCCACUCAGUUUCCUAGUCUUCUUGGAGCCCUUCAACUCAGGAGGAAUUUGAAAACAUUCCUGUUCGCCCAGGCGUUUGAAAGUGGAAGAGGGCUGCGCCUGGCAACCUGAACAUCGCUGAUGAAAGAAUGUUUUUAACUGCAAUUGCGUUUAAGAAUGUUCUGAACUGUU